RNAcentral lists this non-coding RNA (26 nucleotides) under Homo sapiens (human). The record is from RNAcentral. Lineage: Eukaryota; Metazoa; Chordata; Mammalia; Primates; Hominidae.
UGCCACCUCUGGAGUUCAGCCCAGUG